ACACCGGUAUUUUUACGUGAAAAAUCCCUCUAAAUCAAGGGUAAAAACCACGGAACUUUAGAGUCCGAUAAAGAGCUCUACUAUCAUCAAAUGUUCGACUACAAGAUCAAAAUAUCAAGCCUACAACAAGCAUUCAACUCCGACAAGGUUAACAAUAUGUAAUCUUUAGCAAAAGAGAGAAAAAUGAGAGAAUAUCACCAAAAACGCAGCUGCUGAAAAAUGGGUAUUU
This 229-nucleotide long non-coding RNA is filed under the name Gossypium barbadense (sea-island cotton). RNAcentral's name for it is "long non-coding RNA (GBAR_LNC007765)". The record is from RNAcentral. Lineage: Eukaryota; Viridiplantae; Streptophyta; Magnoliopsida; Malvales; Malvaceae.